UACAGAGGUCUCAAGCGUUGUUCGGAUUCAUUGGGCGUAAAGGGUGCGUAGGUGGCGCGGUAAGUCGGGUGUGAAAUUUCGGAGCUUAACUCCGAAACUGCAUUCGAUACUGCCGUGCUUGAGGACUGGAGAGGAGACUGGAAUUUACGGUGUAGCAGUGAAAUGCGUAGAUAUCGAGAGGAACACCUGCGGCGAAGGCGGGUUGCUGGGCCGACACUGACGCUGAUGCGCGAAAGCCAGGGGAGCGAACGGG
This 253-nucleotide ribosomal RNA is filed under the name uncultured bacterium. Its description in RNAcentral is "partial 16S ribosomal RNA". It matches the Rfam family "Bacterial small subunit ribosomal RNA", at positions 524 to 776 of the family's 1533-position model. The record is from RNAcentral.